Long non-coding RNA from Hydra vulgaris (swiftwater hydra), 1315 nucleotides. RefSeq lists it as uncharacterized. The record is from RefSeq and is a predicted model, not a curated record. Lineage: Eukaryota; Metazoa; Cnidaria; Hydrozoa; Anthoathecata; Hydridae.
CAUAUGACAUGUACUAACAUACCAUAUUAGUUUAAAUCAGUUGUAAAAUUUAAAAUGUUAACAUCUUUGAUAGGCAUAUUCAUUUAGGUUAGUUACAGCUAAGUUUACAUGGCUAGUUAAUAUGCUUUUAUUAAUUGCAAUUUUUAUUAACUUUCAAAUUAAACAUGUGGCAUCCAACAUCGUAAACUAAGUUUAUACUGGUGUGUUUAUAUUAUUUUAGAAUUUUUUGUUUUAGACACAUGGCAUUUGUUAUCCCACUGUAAGUUAAAACUAGUUGUAAAAUUAAAAAAUUUAUAUUUGAACUUCUAUUUCUUUUAACAUUCAUGUUUAUUUAAUUGAAUUACAACUAAGGUUAUAUAUGAGUUAUUUAUACUAUCUUAGAAUUUGCUGCUCUAAAGCAUGGCAUUUAGUGUCACAUUGUAGGUUUAAAUUGGUUGUAGAAUUUAUAUUGUAACUUGCAUAUUUAUUUAGUUGAUUUUAAUCUAAGUUUAUUUCUGAUGUGUUUGUAUUAUUUUAGAAUUUAGUGUUUUAGACACGUGGCAUGUGGUAUCCCACUGUAAGUUUGAAUAAGAAAAUUUUAAAAAAAAUUAUAUUUCGACUUGCAUUUCUUUUGACGUUCAUGUUUAUAUAAUUAGAUUACAACUAAGUUUGUUUAUGGCUUGUUUAUAUUAUUUUAGAAUUUGCUAUUUUAGACACUUGGUAUAAGCUGUCAUACUUUAAGUUUAAAUUGGUUGUAAAAUUUAUAUUGUAGUUUGCAUUUCUAUUGGCGUGCAUAUUUAUUUAGUUGAGUUUCAACUAUUAAUAAUAAUAAUAAUAAUAAUAAGUUUAUGACUGGCGUGUUUAUAUUAUUUUAGAAUUUGCUGUUUUAGACACGUGGUUUGUGAUAUUCCACUAAUUAGCUAUUUAAACAUGUGACAAGUGGUAUGACACUGUAUUGAUGUAUGUGAAAUGUAUAGAGUCUUUCAGUUAUCAGAUAAUUUCAAGGAGUUGACAUUGUCUGAUUUAAAGUACGAAACUGUGAACGAGUAACAACCUUAUUCAAAACCAAAACCUACUUAAACCAAAUCAAAACUAGCAACCAAAAACUAAUAUCUUGGCAUUGGUCUAUUUUAAACAUCUAUUAUAUAUGUGUGUGUGUGUGUUUUAUAUAAAUGUACUAGCUUGAGUAUAGUGUAUUAAAAACAUUUUUUUAACUAUUUAUUGUAAUUUAAAGUAUAUUGGAUUAAAUAUUAUAAAUAUUUGAUUAGUUUUCACUUUUUGGUUAAUACGUUUUAAUGUAGAAUAUCGAAAUAAAAUAAUGCAAUUAAAUAAAAAU